Molecule: ribosomal RNA, 161 nt
Filed under: uncultured bacterium
Lineage: Bacteria
Description: partial 16S rRNA
Rfam family: Bacterial small subunit ribosomal RNA
Source: RNAcentral
GGAAUCUUCCACAAUGGACGCAAGUCUGAUGGAGCAACGCCACGUGAGUGAAGAAGGUCUUCGGAUCGUAAAACUCUGUUGUUAGAGAAGAACACGAGUGAGAGUAACUGUUCAUUCGAUGACGGUAUCUAACCAGCAAGUCACGGCUAACUACGUGCCAG